AAAUUGAAGAGUUUGAUCAUGGCUCAGAUUGAACGCUGGCGGCAGGCCUAACACAUGCAAGUCGAGCGGUAGCACAGAGAGCUUGCUCUCGGGUGACGAGCGGCGGACGGUGAGUAAUGUCUGGGAAACUGCCUGAUGGAGGGGGAUAACUACUGGAAACGGUAGCUAAUACCGCAUAAUGUCGCAAGACCAAAGUGGGGGACCUUCGGGCCUCAUGCCAUCAGAUGUGCCCAGAUGGGAUUAGCUAGUAGGUGGGGUAACGGCUCACCUAGGCGACGAUCCCUAGCUGGUCUGAGAGGAUGACCAGCCACACUGGAACUGAGACACGGUCCAGACUCCUACGGGAGGCAGCAGUGGGGAAUAUUGCACAAUGGGCGCAAGCCUGAUGCAGCCAUGCCGCGUGUGUGAAGAAGGCCUUCGGGUUGUAAAGCACUUUCAGCGGGGAGGAAGGCGUUAAGGUUAAUAACCUUGGCGAUUGACGUUACCCGCAGAAGAAGCACCGGCUAACUCCGUGCCAGCAGCCGCGGUAAUACGGAGGGUGCAAGCGUUAAUCGGAAUUACUGGGCGUAAAGCGCACGCAGGCGGUCUGUCAAGUCGGAUGUGAAAUCCCCGGGCUCAACCUGGGAACUGCAUUCGAAACUGGCAGGCUAGAGUCUUGUAGAGGGGGGUAGAAUUCCAGGUGUAGCGGUGAAAUGCGUAGAGAUCUGGAGGAAUACCGGUGGCGAAGGCGGCCCCCUGGACAAAGACUGACGCUCAGGUGCGAAAGCGUGGGGAGCAAACAGGAUUAGAUACCCUGGUAGUCCACGCCGUAAACGAUGUCGAUUUGGAGGUUGUGCCCUUGAGGCGUGGCUUCCGGAGCUAACGCGUUAAAUCGACCGCCUGGGGAGUACGGCCGCAAGGUUAAAACUCAAAUGAAUUGACGGGGGCCCGCACAAGCGGUGGAGCAUGUGGUUUAAUUCGAUGCAACGCGAAGAACCUUACCUGGUCUUGACAUCCACAGAACUUUCCAGAGAUGGAUUGGUGCCUUCGGGAACUGUGAGACAGGUGCUGCAUGGCUGUCGUCAGCUCGUGUUGUGAAAUGUUGGGUUAAGUCCCGCAACGAGCGCAACCCUUAUCCUUUGUUGCCAGCGGUUAGGCCGGGAACUCAAAGGAGACUGCCAGUGAUAAACUGGAGGAAGGUGGGGAUGACGUCAAGUCAUCAUGGCCCUUACGACCAGGGCUACACACGUGCUACAAUGGCAUAUACAAAGAGAAGCGACCUCGCGAGAGCAAGCGGACCUCAUAAAGUAUGUCGUAGUCCGGAUUGGAGUCUGCAACUCGACUCCAUGAAGUCGGAAUCGCUAGUAAUCGUAGAUCAGAAUGCUACGGUGAAUACGUUCCCGGGCCUUGUACACACCGCCCGUCACACCAUGGGAGUGGGUUGCAAAAGAAGUAGGUAGCUUAACCUUCGGGAGGGCGCUUACCACUUUGUGAUUCAUGACUGGGUGAAGUCGUAACAAGGUAACCGUAGGGGAACCUGCGGUUGGAUCACCUCCUUA
This 1538-nucleotide ribosomal RNA is filed under the name Klebsiella pneumoniae. Its description in RNAcentral is "bacterial SSU rRNA". It matches the Rfam family "Bacterial small subunit ribosomal RNA". Lineage: Bacteria; Pseudomonadati; Pseudomonadota; Gammaproteobacteria; Enterobacterales; Enterobacteriaceae. The record is from RNAcentral.